GUGAUGAACGAGGGGCGUUGGACAAAGCAAUCAACCAUUGGUCCGAUUUUUGGAGUCUUCAAGGCACUUGAAUUUUGGAAGAACGGUCCUUUUUUUUUUUUUUUUCUUUAAUUAGAAUCUGAAGCUUACCAACUUCUUUCGUACACGAGGCUUGAGAGAUAUUGGACUAGAAAUUAGAAACUGAUGGGAGUGCCUUUUGCAUCAGGUACAAAGGAAAGCCUAACCGCUACCGAGUGGGAAGAGGGGGGUAGAAGAUUUUUCAACAUUCCGACCGAUUCCAAUUUCCAUGGCAGGAGGUAUAUUGGGUGUGCAUCAAACAAUUUUUGACUCAAGCGGUUAAUUUGCUUUGAAUGAAGAUAAUGCAAUCUUAUUAGUAGGGUAAUCUUCUGUUAUACAUCUAUCUUUCUUUCUUUCUUUCUUGACAGUGGUUAAUAUGCUUUGAAUGAAAUGCAAAAUUAAUAUAUAUAUCUUUGAGGGUCCUUGUGAAAUUGCUAUGGAGAUAAUUCAAAAAUCAUUUAAAAAGUUUAAAUGGGUUGCUAAUUUUUGUUUAAAAUUCAUUUUAGCAAAAUUAACUUAUCUUACAUUAGAUUUUGGUGCAAAAUGUGAAAAUCCUUUAUUUUGAGGAGAUCAUUGUUU
This 636-nucleotide long non-coding RNA is filed under the name Citrus sinensis (sweet orange). Its description in RNAcentral is "long non-coding RNA (CSIN_LNC000464)". The record is from RNAcentral. Lineage: Eukaryota; Viridiplantae; Streptophyta; Magnoliopsida; Sapindales; Rutaceae.